AGAGAUGUAGUAUAUUUAUUAUAUUUGGUUUGGGACUAAAAGAUAUUACAUUAGUAAUCAUUUCUA
This 66-nucleotide transfer RNA is filed under the name Brachionus rubens. RNAcentral describes it as "tRNA-Pro". Lineage: Eukaryota; Metazoa; Rotifera; Eurotatoria; Ploima; Brachionidae. The record is from RNAcentral.